Anguilla rostrata (American eel) is the source of this 1266-nucleotide long non-coding RNA. RefSeq lists it as uncharacterized. NCBI's taxonomy places the organism in Eukaryota, Metazoa, Chordata, Actinopteri, Anguilliformes, Anguillidae. The record is from RefSeq and is a predicted model, not a curated record. The transcript is spliced from 3 exons.
UGCAUUUGUGUUAUUUAUUGAAAGAAAUGAGGAAAUGAGGAGUUCUGAUGCAGUAAUGUGAUUAGCCUGGUAUUGUGUUCACUGUGAACCUUUCCCAUUUCAAUCUUACAGGCUUCCAUUGUGCGAAACGACUGACUAUGGGUGCAUUUGCUGAAAAAUCUUUUUUAAACAGAUAUUGAAAAAGUAUAUAAUGGGUUUACUACCAAUACAACUCGCAAAGGUUCUGUGCCAAAGUAAACGUAAUUUCACGGAAGGUCAGAGCCGAAAGGAGUGCCACACAGAGAAACCUGUUAGUCCUGACAUUCAAACUAAUCAGGAAAAUCACAUAACAGUUUCUUUAUAAAGUGUACCACCUUCUGAUCAUGUGUGUAGAGGACAAGAUACUUCUGUUGCAAGGUCAUGUGCAGCUUAUAGCGUGAAGCAGAUUACUUCUCAAGGCGCCAUGAACAACAUUAAUUCCACUGGACAGAAUGUCGAGCCAGACAAGAAAGGGGGUGGAGAAGGGAACAAAUUGACAUAUGGCUUUGGACUGGUGGCUCUGCUGGGCUUGGCAUUCUAUAGGUGGUGUUGGCAAAGAGACACUCAGAGGCAGAAACAGGAGGUUGAAUCCAACUAUAAAGAGGAGUUGAAGAUUGUCUUCAAGGAGCUGGAAAAGGAGCAAAGAGAAAAGUCCAAGUUAUUCCUGAACAUGGUCGAAAAUGAUCUAAUGGAAAGGCAGCAUUUCUACUGCAGCCACUUUACUUCUAGAAAGCGCUGUUUUGAGAUCGAGAGGAAGCUGCUCGACAGGGUGGCCAGGGAACCUCUGGCCAAAGGGCUGGACAUGGAGGCCGACCUUAAGAAAAUUUUUGAAAAAGAUCAGCAUUGUGCCAACUGGUUGAACAAGGACAAGAGUAAAAAUGGCAAGAUGAUGUGGGAAUACUUCAUGUCCUGGCAGCGACAGAUCUCACAGCAGCAACACAAGAAGGCAACUGCAGCUCCAGUGAAACAACAGUCUGACCUGAAGUGACCAUUUAGAAGGAGAAGUGCAUUUGUUUCUUCACAUAACAUUGAAUUAGGGUAUUUCUGGAUCAAAUAUAAAACAUCACUAGGCAAUUGUUUAUUUAGUUUCUUUUUGGUGUUUUUUGGGGGUCACUUGGGAGUAUGGGAGGGGCCGGUAUGAAUACCAGCCCUAAACACAGAAUUUGUGUGUUUUUGUUACUGUAUAAUGGUGUUCAAUACCAAAAUUCGCAAAAACAAAAAAAAUAAAAUAAAAAUUGCUGGACAAGG